This 796-nucleotide long non-coding RNA is filed under the name Rattus norvegicus (Norway rat). RNAcentral's name for it is "long non-coding RNA NONRATT015986". Lineage: Eukaryota; Metazoa; Chordata; Mammalia; Rodentia; Muridae. The record is from RNAcentral.
CAAAGACCAUUUUGGAAUCCGUGUCAGUUUUUAUAGGGACAUAUAAAUGCAAAUUAACCUCAUGCAUUUCAUGGGCGAGCUUUUACAUCUUUCUAAAGCACACGGAAGCCCAUACAUGAACCUGCCGGUGACUUGUUACCCCGUUACACUAAAGUCGAUGUGAGCAAGCUUGGGUGCUGGUAAGGCUGCUCCUCGUGCAUCAUCACGGUGUCCUGUCUCUAUCACACACAUAGACGCGACACUGUCAGGACAACAGAGAACCCUUUAUAGCAUUAGGAUCCAAAUAUAUGACAGGCCAUUGACUUUUAAAAGCAGUCACAGCAAUUUUCAAACAUACACAAAAGCCUUUUGAUGCAGUCCAUCUACCCACAGCCAGCUUUAACUCUUACCAACCCGCAGCCGCCGCCGCUCCUGGGUUGAUCCCCUUUACCCUCUCAUGCUGAGUUAUCUUAAACAUAUCCACGGCGGCUUACCAUUUUAUUAGAAAAAUAUCUCAUGGUCGUUUUCUGAGAGAACCCAGGUUUUUUAAUCUCUGCAAUGUCACUAUCACAUCCAAACAAGAUUGACAAUUGUUACUUAAAAUCGAGCUGUCAGUGUGUGACUGACAGUGAUCGUCUCAUCAAUACCCUUGGUGAUUGCUUUGUGAAAAUAGAGUGCAAGUAAUUUUAUAUGCUGCCUUUCACCGGCAUACGCCUUAAGACGAUUUCAACUCUAAAGAUCUCUUGCUUCUCUCUUUUAAAGUACGCUUUUAAUAUUCAGCUUCUUUGUUGAACGGGCCAGCUUUAAUUUUCACAGU